RNAcentral lists this long non-coding RNA (563 nucleotides) under Homo sapiens (human). RNAcentral's name for it is "novel transcript". The record is from RNAcentral. Lineage: Eukaryota; Metazoa; Chordata; Mammalia; Primates; Hominidae.
AAGCGACACGGAUCCUGAGAGCGCUCCCGGGUAGGCAUUUGCCCCGGUGGGACACCUCACCACAGCAGUGUGUGGCAGGCCCCCGUGGAGAAUCAACGCAGUGGCUGAACACCGGGAAGGAAUGGGCACUUGGAGUCUGGACAUCUAAAACUUGAAUUAGAGGAGACAGCACUGAUUGCAGUGACAGAAGCGGUGCCAGCUAACUCCCCACCAUCAAAAGUAUCUUCUGCUGUAGCCUGGCACAAGGUGUGAAAUUUCAUUUUUAAAGAUUUACUUCUUUGAUUUGUCAUUGUUAUGGUUAAAAUGCUAUAAUGCUGUCUGAGGGUUAAAGGACAUAACUUGUGAAAAAUCAUUAAUUUCCUGGUGCUAAUUUAAAUUCUUUGAUAAUUAUCUGGGAGGGGCUUAAAAGGAGUACAAAAUUGCCUUUUGGAAGGGUUUAAUUGAUUGACAUUGCAAUAGUCUGCUCAAAGUCUGUGAGAGUAUGAAUGCCUAUUUGUAAAUCUGUCAUACAUACAUACACACAUAUAUCAGAAAUGACAAUAAUUAUAUAUAGUAUACACAAA